Molecule: transfer RNA, 84 nt
Filed under: Lachnospiraceae bacterium
Lineage: Bacteria; Bacillati; Bacillota; Clostridia; Lachnospirales; Lachnospiraceae
Description: tRNA-Leu
Rfam family: tRNA
About the family: Transfer RNA (tRNA) molecules are approximately 80 nucleotides in length. Their secondary structure includes four short double-helical elements and three loops (D, anti-codon, and T loops). Further hydrogen bonds mediate the characteristic L-shaped molecular structure. tRNAs have two regions of fundamental functional importance: the anti-codon, which is responsible for specific mRNA codon recognition, and the 3' end, to which the tRNAs corresponding amino acid is attached (by aminoacyl-tRNA synthetases). tRNAs cope with the degeneracy of the genetic code in two manners: having more than one tRNA (with a specific anti-codon) for a particular amino acid; and 'wobble' base-pairing, i.e. permitting non-standard base-pairing at the 3rd anti-codon position.
Source: RNAcentral
GCUGGUAUGGCGGAAUAGGCAGACGCAACAGACUUAAAAUCUGUCGAACACUAGUUCGUGCCGGUUCAAGUCCGGCUACCAGCA